RNAcentral lists this long non-coding RNA (301 nucleotides) under Amborella trichopoda. Its description in RNAcentral is "long non-coding RNA (ATRI_LNC002327)". The record is from RNAcentral. Lineage: Eukaryota; Viridiplantae; Streptophyta; Magnoliopsida; Amborellales; Amborellaceae.
UCCUUAGCAGAGGGUUUUUUUUUUCAAGCUCUAUAAGCCUGCCUGCCCCUACCUUUACAGCUAAGGCUAAUAGCUCCUUUGAUUUUGCGUAGGGAGGGUGGAAGCUCUAUAGGACAUAGCGUAGGGCUAUUUGAAACAACUCUAUAACUGAAAAAGAUAUAGAUAGGCGCGGAUGUUGCCCUAUAGGAAUUGAUAGGUCUUUAGCUUUGGGCUAUUUGGAAGCUAUAUAGGAAGAGAUAGCAGCGGCUGGCUACUAGCUUUGCUUUUGAUAUUAGCUCUUGCUAGUACUUUAGAAGUAAUA